Siniperca chuatsi (mandarin fish) is the source of this 3266-nucleotide RNA transcript. It is a transcript of the gene named transmembrane protein 80-like, with no coding region annotated. The transcript has 6 exons. Lineage: Eukaryota; Metazoa; Chordata; Actinopteri; Centrarchiformes; Sinipercidae. The record is from RefSeq and is a predicted model, not a curated record.
GUGUGUGUGUGUGUGUGUGUGUGAGAGGUCGUGUAGCCCACUUGUAGGCUACUAAAUCUUGCAUGUUGUGUGGAUUUAAACCCUGUUAACAAAGUCACAUUAUGGGGGCUCACCUCCUGUUUGGGACAAAAAGCAGAUCCCCACAAGGUUUAAUAUUACAUUUUAGGAUUAAGGUUAGGGUUAGGCAUGUAACGUUAGAGUGAGUCUCUGGAGAAUAAAUGCAGCUAAGUCAAACAAUGUCCUCCUAAGCUUGUGUGAAAAAUAUGUAGAUGAAGUGACAUGACAAAUUGUGUCCUGAUAUAUCAAAGAUUAUGGACAAAGAUGUCAUUACUUUCAUGUAUAGUGUAUAGCAUACUGUGUUAUUGCACCAACUUCAUGUCAUGGCCACUUGCCAGCUGAACAAGCUGAAAAAAACAUCCACAUAUUACUACCAUAAAGCUGAAAUGUUAGCAAACGUGUUAGCCUGUUUAACAUUGGAGCAACAUUAGCAUUCAUUUCCAUUCACCAGUCGAGAGAAAUAUUUACUCUCCACCAACUCCUGAGAAAACUUUCUAGCUCUUUAGGUUAGCUGCUAAAUGCUUCACUAUGCUCACCAGCUGGCUAACUUGUCUGCCAUUUGGUGGUGAGCAGGUAGUGCUGCUGGAGGUUGAUUAGAGUGGAGUUUGGAGGCCAAAAGAGCUAAAGUUAAACUUUAAAGUUUGUUUGUAGUCAGAUAAAAACCCAUGUUUUAACAGUAAAAUUUAACAAAGGUCGUGUAAAUUAGUUACCUGCCGUUUUAAAUAGCUUGCGCACUGAUUAAACCGUUACAAUAACUGACAACCGUUGAUGGAACUAAGUUUGAGCAGUCCACAAACGGACACCUGCCAUCCAGUCAGAAAAGAGUUAACGUUAAUGGCAAACGCACACAAUGUAAUGCGGUUCGCUUCUGACAAAUUACUGGGACCUUAUACACUUAUAGAGGUCUGUUUUAUCUACAUACUUCUCUCUUUAUUUGACUGCGCUUUGGGGUUGUAGUUCAUCUUCCAGCCAGUAGGCAGAGACGUUCAUCUUUGUGGUUAGAAGUGAGGAAAAAAUCAAAAUGGCGAUGCCCGGACCAGGAAGAUCAGCCAGUGUACUGUCAUCUGUUACUUUUCAGCUACUGCUGAAACUUACAACAAUCUACUUUGUCUUUUAUUUCCUGUUCACUCUCGGCUUGAUCAUCAGGAAGAGCUUGGUGCUGUCUUAUCCUGUUGAUGCUGUGGUCUGUGAUGUCAGUCUGUUGUUCCUCCUGGCUGCUCUGGAGUUCCUCCAUUUCUUCUGUGGUGUGAAGGGCAACCUGACGGAGAGUGAGGGCUAUAUUCUGGCUAACCUCAUUGUGACGGGGACAACUAUCCUGCUGACGGUCUACUUCCUGGUGUGGCAGACGUACGUGAUGUGGGCAGACGUAUUCAUCAGCAGUGUCUUACUCGUUGUCUAUGGCUUAGAUGGAGUUCUGGCUUUCAGCACUUUAGCCCGGCUGGCCAGGUCAGUUCCACAUCACAGACAUUUUAUAUUAAACCUCACCAGCCACGACAGAUGAGGAAGCUUCUAUUGGAUUAUGUGACAUGUUAGAUCAUAAACUGUCUGUUUUUUGACAUGGUCGCAUGUCAGCAUAAAUGAUAGACGGGUCGGUAAAUUACGAUAUCUGGUGUCAAACAUAGAUAACAUACUUCAUUAUCACAUGAAGAGACUGGCCUACAUUUUGGGCUCCAUAUAUUUUGAUUGACAAGAUAUGUCGAUGUAAUUAGCAUCUCAUACUUUUGUUAGCGUUCCUUUUGUUCACGCUUUUGUUCACGAAUGAAAUAAGCCCUGGUUCCCUUUAGGACUUGGUUGAAUUAUUGAUAUGGGUGGCAUUCAUUCAAGUGAUACAGUAUACCUUGUACAAUGUCGUCACAUCCUCAAAUUUUCCUCCCAAGAUAGAUCCAUUGACAACAAUCCCUUAUUCUGAAAUGAUGGAUAUUGUUUAAUCAGGUGGCUGAUGGCCGAAAUACAUUCAUAAAUCAGAGUGGAUGAAGACUUGUGAAAAAACUGUAAACUAAACUAAACAUGCAGUCAUUUGCAAGACUGAUUUUGGACAACUAAACAUUGUUUCACACACUUCUUGUGUUUCAUAUGCUUUAAGUUUGUUCAGGUACUGUUGAACGUACGGUUAUAGCAGAUUUUUAUUUGCUCUUCUUUAUGUCUUUCAGUGUCUAUUUAUGAAGAAGCCUUCUCUUCGUUGCCAUGUUGUAUGUUAUAGCUGAACAAAGCCUGUCUGCACUUCUUUGGUACAAGCAGAAAAGACAGUUUGAAUUUUUAGAAGGACUUGAAUGAAUCAGUAACUCAGGUCAACCGGAGUGUGGUCAUUUCCUAUUGAACCCACAAAUUCUAACUACCUCACACUGAGGUAGGUUCUAGGUUAAGAAUAAAUGUUUUAGUUUGGCUCCUUAAACUUUUUACUGUCCAUAUUUGAUGUCAGAUCACUCAUUCUCUGCACUUUAUUUACUCAGGUGAAGAUCGCAGAGCAGUUUUUAUUGUUGUAUCUAUUAGUAAUUUCCUACCCCACAUUCUUCAAACAGGUGAUUUCUCAGCACUGACAGCUUAAGUUAAUGAUCAAGCCCAGUAGCAAGGUUUCCAAAGUAACCAGUUUAAAAACAAAUCACAUUUCAGAGUGUGCUUGAGCAACAGCCGAGCACACAAGGACAAACUCGUGGCAUUUCACUGACUGUAGGCCAAGCCAGUGUGUCUCGCUGCUAGUAUAAUGCGGUGUGUCUUAACUGUCAUUUUUGUCAAAACAUGAUAAUUCAAGUGAUUGUUCACGUACAGUAAUAUACCCAGAAGAGGGCAACUGCAUUACCUUAAUGAUUUUCUUUGCAGGGACAGCACACUACAGCUGGACAAAGAGUGGUCAUUCUUACCAGCCAGUGACACUGAAACCUGGGCUGUGUUCCGCACUGUUGCUCCUCUUUCAUUCACCCUGUUGAAUCCAACUAGUUUAGACCAGUCACUACUUUGCUGCACAAAGUAAAAACCUGUGGAAAUUAAAUGCUUCCACAACUGAAGACCUUGCAUAUAAAAUUUUAUUUAGGCCUAUGCAUUUGUAAUUGCAUUUGUAAACAGAAAUCUGUUUUUUAUUGCCAUAUAAAUGUUGAUAAUGUCACCUAGGGCAUCUCAUAUAAGGUCUCCUUAGGGCACUUAUACUUUACAGCAGUGAUCAGAGGUUUGCAAAAUGAUUCUAAUAAAUAAAUACAUUCUGUUACAAAAAAUUA